This 423-nucleotide ribosomal RNA is filed under the name uncultured bacterium. RNAcentral's name for it is "bacterial SSU rRNA". It matches the Rfam family "Bacterial small subunit ribosomal RNA", at positions 355 to 775 of the family's 1533-position model. The record is from RNAcentral.
UAAGGAAUAUUGGUCAAUGGACGCAAGUCUGAACCAGCCAUGCCGCGUGAAGGAUGAAGGUCCUCUGGAUUGUAAACUUCUUUUAUCUGUGAAGAAAGGCACUUAUUCUUAGGUGUUUGACGGUAACAGAGGAAUAAGCACCGGCUAACUCCGUGCCAGCAGCCGCGGUAAUACGGAGGGUGCAAGCGUUAUCCGGAUUCACUGGGUUUAAAGGGUGCGUAGGCGGGCGAGUAAGUCAGUGGUGAAAUCUCCAGGCUUAACCUGGAAACUGCCAUUGAUACUAUUUGUCUUGAAUUACGUGGAGGUGAGCGGAAUAUGUCAUGUAGCGGUGAAAUGCUUAGAUAUGACAUAGAACACCAAUUGCGAAGGCAGCUCACUACACGUUGAUUGACGCUGAGGCACGAAAGCGUGGGGAUCAAACAG